Molecule: long non-coding RNA, 2466 nt
Organism: Ruditapes philippinarum (Manila clam)
Lineage: Eukaryota; Metazoa; Mollusca; Bivalvia; Venerida; Veneridae
Exons: 3
Source: RefSeq, a predicted model, not a curated record
GAAAACACGAUGGCACGAUGAUGAAACAUCGACGGCACGAUGGUGAAAUCAAGUUGAUGAGAUGACAUUAUGAAAAUAAUAUAACGCGUCCUCAUCAUCGUGCCAUCGCAGUUUCAUCAUAGUAUUAUCGUUCUUUCACCAUCGUACAAUCGGUAUUUUCAUCAUCCUAACAUCGUGUUUACACCAUCGCACCAUCGCGUAUCAUCGUGCAUUCGUCAUUGUAACAUCGUACCAUCAUUGUUUCAGCAUCGUACAAUUGUUGUUUCACGUUCGUACCAUCGUGUUUUUACCAUCGUACCAUUGUGCCAUCGGGCUUCGUAAACGGCAUUCCGUUUGUUUCAGUGUAUGCCUUCAGGUUCAGCCAAUCAAAUUUCUUGAAUUAGAGAUAUAAGAAUUAUAUUUCAUAAAAAAAGCGUAAGUAAACAUAUUGAUGAUAGAACUUUGACAUGAAGUCGAACGGCGAACCUCGAUUCUAAAAAAAAUAAUAAACAUUCUGCAGUGGAAAAAAAAUGUGACAAAUAAUUCAUUAUAAAUGACAUGAGACAAAUGUGCUUUUUUGUCCCUUGAGAACAUUUGACAAAUGCGUUUUUUUCCGUUAAAAAACUUGAUCGGAGCACAUAUGCAUUUGUCACACAAAUUACUUUUUUGGGGUAGACAUUUGAGGUCCAAUUUGACUCAUGUGGGACAAAUGCGACCUCAUCGGUCUAAUGGAAGACAAAUGCUACGAGACAAAUGUGCUCCUACAAUUCUUUCUAUUUAUAUGAAAUACGGGAGUUCUUUGGGUUUUGAUUAGUCUUAUGAUAAUGUUAUGGCACUUAAGACCUUGAUACAGUGUGCCAGUCUCAUAUUGACAAAAAUGUACAAAAAAAAAAAAAAAAAAUAGAAGACAAAAAAAAUCGGAAAUAGAUUAUUGCAAUGAAUAAAUGAUAAUAUUUUCCAUUUUACAUGGUUUAAUUCAGCUUCAUGUCAUCCCGAAAAAGGUGAGAAAGUGAAUUCUGAAAAAGUCGACCGUAUUAAAUACGUUAAAAACGAUAACGGAAAUACAAGUGACGAAGAUGGUAGUUUCAGAAGCACAGAUGACUGGAUUGAUUUAAACACCGAUGAAACAAAUCAAUGCCUACAGAAUCUGCCACAGCCGGCCUUAAUCCUGAAUUGCAAAGAUUCGGACAAAACGAGACGGGAGUCAAAGCGAACACACUUUACCGGAUCCAAAUUCCCUCACAACUACUCAAAACAAGGAAAAUCGAGAAAAGCCCGGAAAUGAUUUAUUAAAUAAGUCUAUGAUUGAGUCAGUUUUGUUGUUGUGUCAAAUUCAUAUUUUCAAAAAUAGGUUAUGUGAUGCCAAUGUACGCAUAGAUCUGAUAAGAUAAUUUUAAAGUCUACCUUUGUUACGAGUCGUAAAAUAUUUGAUAGAGAAGUUAAAAAAACUAAACGUUUUUAUUGGUAUUCACUGCAGAAUGACCUAUUGAAUGAUUGUAAGGUAGAUAGUACUUCAUUUUGGAAAUCUAUUGGUAAAAUUGGUGUAGAUUUUUCAAAAAUCAUAAUAUUUAGACUUCCGGUGAAAACAUUCAUAAUAUAAACAAAGGAAAAAAUGUAAUGAAAUAAUUAAACCUGGGUAAAUCUGAUAACGGCAGGUGUUCCAAACAAUUGUAACAAUGGUCUUAUAAGCAACGUAAAACAUUGCAGGAAGAAUUUGACUUUAUAAAAACAGAUCCGUGAUAUAUCCAUGGAAAUUAAGUAUUCGAAAUUAUCCGAAAUUAUCCGAAAUUUUAACAGUGUGCAUUUAUUGUGAGUCGAUACCAAAUUACCAAUGUAUCAUAAUAUAAUAAAUGAAAUAUGAUGCAUAAUGUACUAAAUGGAUCGUGAGAAAAAUCGAACGACUAGAAGAGAGAAAAUUGCUGCAUCCCAUGAUAAAAACAGAAGAAGGUCAUCCUCAACAAAAAGAAAAGUUACUUCACCAUCCUAUAGUCAAAACAUUGAUAAGAAACACAAACAUAAUACAUAUAGCUUAGACAACCUAGAUAUAGUCAACAGUGACACUUCUUAUAACUACACCAUUAAGGACAAAGACACAGACAACACAAUUAACGCAGAAAAUAUGAGCUCAACAGUUAAAUGUGCACUUAAUCCAACAAUGGCAACCAGUGCCCCUCACUUAAUCCAUCAAAUGCCAGAGCACUUAGUCCAUACUACUUCUCCUGGAAGUUUCUUAACAGAUGUUGAUAUUGUCAGGAUAUUUAAUGCUUUGAAAUUAUCAAUGGCAGAAAAAAAUCAAUGGUAUGGUCUCAAUGCAUGUACAGAUAGCAACAGAGCAAUAAAGAGAGGACAUAAGUGAUCUGAAAACGGAAGUUGAGUCACUUAAACAGAAGCACAAGAAAUCAAAAAUGAAGCAAGAUGAUGCUGAGCAGUACUCCAGAAAAAAGUGUAAGAAUAAGUAAUUACAAAGAAAAGUCAGAUGAAGGAACU